CGGACGGGUGAGUAACGCGUGGGUAACCUGCCUUAUACAGGGGGAUAACAGUCAGAAAUGGCUGCUAAUACCGCAUAAGCGCACAGAGCUGCAUGGCUCAGUGUGAAAAACUCCGGUGGUAUAAGAUGGACCCGCGUUGGAUUAGCUUGUUGGUGGGGUAACGGCCCACCAAGGCGACGAUCCAUAGCCGGCCUGAGAGGGUGAACGGCCACAUUGGAACUGAGACACGGUCCAAACUCCUACGGGAGGCAGCAUG
Molecule: ribosomal RNA, 256 nt
Filed under: uncultured bacterium
Lineage: Bacteria
Description: partial 16S ribosomal RNA
Rfam family: Bacterial small subunit ribosomal RNA
Source: RNAcentral